CAAUGGUUGGAGUUAGCAUGAUCCUGAGGGUUGGGCCUUUGGUGUGUUCCUUUUGGGUCACAGUCACCUUCGAUGUAUUUUUGAGCAAGUGGCACCAGAAGCCAUAUGCAUCCAGGAGAAACCAUGCUUGGGUGUGAAUUGUGGGCGAAUGAGGUGAGGUGAGGCCUAGGCCUCUGCCAUGGUGUGGAACAGUGGCCAUGAGUCCCUCACAACGGCGAACAGGCGACAUUCUCUGGGCUGUGCUACAAAGCUGUGCGGCUCAGUAGCACCCCAGCUUCCCCGUCUCCAGGCUGUGCCUACCCUGAGUGGCCUCAGCAGAAACACCUCUGCCUGCCUUCCAGCAGCCACCCUGGUCUUAGCCUCUGGAGGGAAGGCAGAGGAUGAAGGGUGCCUGUUGUUCUUCUCGUCACACCUCUUGGCUUCCUGACAGUGGCAGGGAGGAGAAGAUGUGUGGUCUCACAGAGGAAAAGCAGUCUACUCCCG
Molecule: long non-coding RNA, 483 nt
Filed under: Heterocephalus glaber (naked mole-rat)
Lineage: Eukaryota; Metazoa; Chordata; Mammalia; Rodentia; Bathyergidae
Description: lncRNA (ENSHGLG00000036381.1)
Source: RNAcentral